GGAAGAGGAAGUGGGGAAAAGUACUUAAAAAUACCUCUUAUUCUUUUAAAGAAACAUCUCCAUACUCUUUUUGUUUAUUCUUAUGGUAAGUGGUUUUACAAAGUGCUGGGUAGGAUAAUUUCCCUGAAAAUUUCCCUGGAUUUUAAUGACCUGAAGAAUUAUUCCAAAUUUCUUCCAGAACACUAACUGGAAGAGCAUGUGGUCUAGCCUGGAGUUUCCCCACUGUUUUUCUGGAUGGGUCACACCUCUAGCCUCAGAAGGCCACCCUGGAGAAAAAAUGCUUUCCUCCUCCCUGCCUUCCCUACCUGCUAAGCUAAGUUUGAGGUACUUACUGUGCUUGGCGUCCACUCACUUCCCACCUCUGAUCUCCUGAUGUGUUUGCUGCUGCGUUCAUUUCCUUGGGGGCAGGCGCUGCACAGCUCUCCCACAGGUCUUGACACCUCCUCCCAGUCCUGCCCACUCCUAACUCUUCCACUCUCCUUAGAAUUUGUCUUCUCUUUGUUUCAGAUGCUGUUUAAAUUUUGAAGAAUAAUUCUAUGUGAAUCCUGUAUGUUCCUUUUAGACAUAUUUGCCUUUUAUAAAAGCAUACUUCAGAUGCAUUUUUAUAAUGGAAAAGAAGGAAUGGUGGUUAUUUCUGGUUCCAUAAAGGUCUGAGCUUUUAAAAAGUACCUCAAAUCACUCCCUAUAGACCACAGUGACUGUACAACCUGUUUGCAUCCUCUCCCCAGCAGCAAUUCUCUGUCUUUCACCUCCAACAUUGUUGCAAUUACCUCCUUUCUUUAUUCUCUUGUUAGAAAUCUGUGAAAUGAGAUUGGCGGGGGAUGAGGGGCUAUGAAAAGUUGGAGAAGAGUGUAGUUAGUAGAAGCUGACUAAGGAAUAUUAACAUCUCUGUGACAUUCCCUUACUCUAGUGAUCACUCAAGGAUCAGUUUUCCUAUUUGUCACAUGGGCCUAGAUAAACAGAUGGGUACACCAUUUUGUUCUUUCAUGUUUCAGUAGUUUAGGAAAUUUCCACAAAGGGGAUUUUUUUUAAAGUAGGUAAGAAAUUAUGGGUUUAAGCUACUAAUUAAUUCAGAAAAUGUAGGCAUUCAACAAGAUCCAUUAACUCCACAAAUAUGUAUUGAGAACUGGCUACGUGUCAUUCACAGUUGGUAGGUACAUAAUUAGGUAGCUGUCACAUAGGAUUAAAUCUACCUAGGAGUUGCUUCUCAGCCUCCCACUUUUGGAAGUUACUUCUCAUUGCUAGAAGCUUGGUGGCAUUCUUAAAUUAUUCAUUGUUAGCUUCUUAUCAUUUGGUUGUCCUUCAGGAAUAUAUUGCAUUUAUAUAGAAUUGUAUACUUCUUCAAACGUGCUGUAUUUUGAAUUCAGGGGAGAAAAUUUUCCCCAGAUUUCAGUAAAUCUGUGCACUUUGGUGUGGUGUUAAUACCGCACAUCUUUGCUUUCACUUACACAUUCUCUACUUGCUCAGCAAGACUCUGGGUAAUGGUUUUGCUCUACAUAUCCUGUAUUAAAAUGAAAAUAAAUUUAGUGCAUCAAUCAAAAUUUGGCCACCUACCUGUGACCUGCUGUGAUAACUAAUGGGCUUUAGGUAAUUGACUUUCCGUGUACUGACAGUUGUGACUUAGUGCUGAGAUUUUCCAGAUGACUCUGAUCUACUUCAUGGAUGGCAAGUUGGAUCCCUCUACCUUCCGAGGUCAGGAGUGCAAGCCCAGCCUGGCCAAUGCGGUGAAAUCCCAUCUCUACUAAAAAUUCAAAAAUUAGCCAGGCAUGCUGGCAGCCACCUGUAAUCCCAGCUACUCGGGAGGCUGAGGCAAGAGAAUCACUUGUACAGGGGAGGCGGAAGUUGCGGUGAGCUGAGAUCGUGCCACUGCACUCCAUCCUGAGUGACAGAGCAAGACUCUGUCUCAAAAAACAAAACAAACAAACAAAAAAGAAGUAGAAUAAACAAUUGUUAUUUUUAUUUUUUAAAUCCCAGAGAUUGAAAAGGAAAGCAGUCAGACUCCUGAGUUGAUUUUUGAAACUGGAAUGAGAGAAGAAGUGGUUGUGGGUCUGGAAGAGCUGGGCACCUGCACCAGACUGGGUGUGGAGCCUGGUAGGUAGUUGGGACUUCAGAGGGGCCUGGCUGAGCAUGAGCCUGGCAGGUCUCAGCAGCCUGGGUGGAGUAUGCUGCCAAGGGAGUAGUGCUGCUGGCAGUUUUUCCCUCUUUCCAGAGACCAUGCCCACCGGUGACACUCUUUGCAUGCUUUGAGUUGAAAGUUAGGUGACUCUUCUCUUUAAUUUAUUUAAGUCUCCUAGGGUUCUCAGGAGAUGAUGCAGAGGAAGGAGACGUGGAGGACCAAGCCAGUAUGAGAUUCUUGAGUUGGUUUCAGUUAUAUUUGAUGAUAUAAGAGGAUCAUUUUUGCAUCCUGAGGGUGGUGAGAAUUUCCAUUUUAUAGAUUAGGAUUAAGGCACUAUGAGAUUAUGAUUUGCUGUGUCGUGUCUAGUCACAAUGCUGAGAUUUCAAUAGCUGGAACCAAAUAGCUUAGGCAGUCUCAUUUCUUAUUUCUCAUUUCUUAUUCCAUUAUUUUCCAUUAAAAAAUUAUUUUCCCCAUUUUUUAUUCUUAGCUCGUUAUUGUGUUAGGAGUCUUUCUUGUUGCAUGUGACAGAAACCCGACCUGAACAAGCUUGAGCAAGAAAAUUUGCUACAAGGAAUGUGCUGUAUGGAUUUGCUACAAGGAAUGUGCUGUCACAUACCCUGAGGACAGGAAUAUGGCUAAGCCUUAAGAAUAUCAUCCCAAUAAGCUGUGGCCAGGCUGAACUUGUGCUAUACAACAGCAGGCCCCAACCUUUUCGGCACCAGGGGCCAGUUUUGUGGAAGAUGAUGAAACCAAUGUGCAGAGAGGUUAUGCAGUUUGCCCAAGGACACACAGCUGGAAACAACAUUCUGGAUUAAUUUUAAGUGAAAAUACCCUGGAGGCACACUGAAUUUUCAGACGUGGACAGCUGAUCAUCUGAGGAAGCUGCCGCAUUUCCAGUUCUCUUUUGGUUGAGAGAAAGGCCAUUCUUCAUGCUCUUCUGUUCUUUUGAUUUCCUAUUGGCAUCUCCGUUUCCCUCCAUACCUUUCAACAUUCAAGCCAGAUGCCAAUUGUCUGUGUGAAAACACACUGCAUCUCAAAUAUACCAAGAUGCCUUAAUAUUUGACCAUAUGUGAAUAUUCCAGUAAACUCCUGGGACUUAUGUUCCAGUGUCAGUGCUGAACAACAGGAAGACUGUAAAUACCAUCAGCUAACCAGAAGACUCACAUAUGCCUCAUGUUUAUAAAUGCCGAUAGAUGUAGUGCGUUCUAAAUUUGAAUUUUUGGUGCAAGAGAGGGGAUGGGUGCUCUCUCCAUGGAGGCAGUGCAGCUUGCAAACAUACAAAUGAAUGGGACCUCCUCAGGUUGCUGCUGAUCAUGGCAAUCAGUUAUUGUGGAGAGACUUGCAAACAAGGAACAUCUCUUGAGAUGAACUCUGAAAGAAAAGAAGAAAAGAAUGUGUCCAUGGUAGCCAACCCUAUAUUAAAUAAAGUUUGAACUAACUAUAUUAACUGGGCCAGAAAAAUUCGCCUGAAGCUGGACAGGGUGGGAUUAAAUUCCAAGACCUUAAGCAAAACACUUCAAAGGACAUAGGAUGAAUUUUGAGCAAUAUCUUUAUCUUUGCCACCCACCGCAGUCCCCAGCCUCCUGCGAUGCUGGCCUCGUCGUUGAAAAAACACAAAAGCAAACCACUUCAGGAGGAUUUACUAGAUGCCAAGCUUUGUUUUGGACCUGGUGAGAGUUAAGAAGAUGAAAUAAACAAGCCCUUUGUUCUCAAGUUGCCCAGUGAUUUAGUAUGAGAAUCUUUAUUGUCGUAAAAGUGCCUAACAAUGCUAGGCAGGAAGGCAGGAAGCAGGAACUGAGGGCAAUGUGUCCUUGGAAUGGCCCAGAGAAGAGGCUGAGACUCUUACCUUGACUCUGAGCUGACUUAAAGGGUCUGGUAUAAUGGCAGUUCUUUUACUGAACUGCACUCUCUUCUAGUAAGUAUAAAAAAGUUCUACUGGCAAUAAUAAUAGCAAACAUGUAUCAGGUUCUUACUGUGCUAAGCACUUUAAUUCUGUUAUUGGACUUUCAAAACAACUUACUGAGGAUGAUACCAUUACUUUUCCUGUAUUACAGCAGAGGGAACUGAGGUUUAGAGAGAGAAAAUAAUUUGCCAAAGUCAUAUAAUUGUUGUCUUAUAUAAUUGUUCAUCCCAUAGAGAAUGGCAUUUUCAUUUCUACAGAGAUCAGAGUGUGUUGUUUUCUAUUUCCUGUCUCAAAUGUGUUACUCCUCAUCUCUGCCAAAGCAGGCUCUAUUUAUCCUGCAAGAACUGUGGAACCUCCUCGACUUCCAUCGUAAACUCUUCCUGGGACCCAGUGACUUCUCUUCCCACAGCAUACUUGGAGAAUUUAUGCCUGCCUCAUGUAUUUGGCAAUUGAUCAUAAAUGGUCCUACGCUAAUUCUCAUUUGUCAUAUGAUAUUGUUUAAUUUUGUUUAAUCUUUCCAUCCAGAUUGUAAACUCCUUCUUGUUUCUGGCUGUGUCUAAAGGAUUAAAAGUGAGUCUUUUAUACUAUUCACCACAAUGCACAAUUGAGUUGUCUUUGUAUUUAUUUGAGUUAAAGUUGUAUAGGUUAUAUAUUGCUGCUUAACAAAUUUCCACAGACAUAGUGGCUUAAAACAACACACAUAUAUUUCUGUAAUUACAAUUCUGUAGGUCAGGUGUUGGGCAUGUCUUAACUGGUCCUCUUCAAAGUUGCAAUCAACGUGUUAGUUGAGGCUCAGUUCUCAUCUGGAGGCUCAAGUGGAG
RNAcentral lists this long non-coding RNA (4840 nucleotides) under Homo sapiens (human). Its description in RNAcentral is "HSALNT0112890". The record is from RNAcentral. Lineage: Eukaryota; Metazoa; Chordata; Mammalia; Primates; Hominidae.